AACUUUUGGCAAUGGAUCUCUUGGCUCUCGCAGCGAUGAAGAACGCAGCGAAAUGCGAUAAGUAAUGUGAAUUGCAGAAUUCAGUGAAUCAGCGAAUCUUUGAACGCACCUUGCGCCCUUUGGCUAUUCCGAAGGGCAUGCCUGUUUGAGUAUCAUGAACACCUCAACUCUCAUGGUUUGCCAUGAUGAGCUUGGACUCUGGGGGUCUUGCUGGCUCACAGUCAGCUCCUCUUAAAUGAAUCAGCUUUCCAGUGUUUGGUGGUAUCACAGGUGUGAUAACUAUCUACGCUUGUGGUGUUCUCCCAGGUAACCUUCAGCAAUGGAGGUCACUGGAGCUAAUAAACGCACAUCUCUCGUCGUAGAGAUGGCUUUUUAGAUGUUUGAUCUCAAAUCAGGUAGGACUACCCGCUGAACUUAAGCAUAUCAAUAAGCGGAGGCU
This 439-nucleotide unclassified non-coding RNA is filed under the name uncultured Thelephoraceae. Its description in RNAcentral is "sequence contains ITS2". The stretch from base 1 to 155 matches the Rfam family "5.8S ribosomal RNA". Lineage: Eukaryota; Fungi; Basidiomycota; Agaricomycetes; Thelephorales; Thelephoraceae. The record is from RNAcentral.